AUUGAACGCUGGCGGCAGGCCUAACACAUGCAAGUCGAACGAGUGGCGGACGGGUGAGUAAUGUCUGGGCAACUGCCUGAUGGAGGGGGAUAACUACUGGAAACGGUAGCUAAUACCGCAUACCAUCGGAUGUGCCCAGAUGGGAUGAGCUAGUAGGUGGGGUAACGGCUCACCGAGGCGACGAUCCCUAGCUGGUCUGAGGGGAGGACAAGCAACACGGGAACUGAGACACGGUCCAGACUCCGACGGGAGGCAGCAGUGGGGAAUAGUGCACAUGGGUCGAAAGCCUGACGCAGCCAUGCCGCGUGUAUGAAGAAGGCUUUCGGGUUGUAAAGUACGUUCAGCGGGGAGGCGUUACCCGCAGAAGAAGCACCGGCUAACUCCGUGCCAGAAGCCGCGGUAAUAC
This 406-nucleotide ribosomal RNA is filed under the name uncultured bacterium. Its description in RNAcentral is "partial 16S ribosomal RNA". It matches the Rfam family "Bacterial small subunit ribosomal RNA", at positions 29 to 526 of the family's 1533-position model. The record is from RNAcentral.